This 620-nucleotide ribosomal RNA is filed under the name Tuber anniae. RNAcentral describes it as "eukaryotic LSU rRNA". The stretch from base 227 to 380 matches the Rfam family "5.8S ribosomal RNA". Lineage: Eukaryota; Fungi; Ascomycota; Pezizomycetes; Pezizales; Tuberaceae. The record is from RNAcentral.
GCGGAAGGAUCAUUACAAAUGUCUGGGAUGUCCAAUCGGGCCCCCAAGCAAACACAUCCAUGUGUACACUCCCAUGUUGCUUCCCCAGAUCAGUGGCCACUGCUGCCAGCCCACCCCCUCAAUUGGGGUCCUGGGUUGAGGUGUCUGGGGAAGGGCCCAAUAACAAACCUUUGAACCAAUUAGUUGUCUGAGUAGGCCACCCGCCGCAAUCUUUAAAACAUGUUAAAACUUUCAACAACGGAUCUCUUGGCUCUCGCAUCGAUGAAGAACGCAGCGAAAUGCGAUAAGUAAUGUGAAUUGCAGAAUUCAGUGAAUCAUCGAAUCUUUGAACGCACAUUGCGCCCUUUGGUAUUCCUUAGGGCAUGCCUGUUCGAGCGUCACUAAAAACCCCCUCACAGAUAAUGUGGUAUUGGUAGAAGUGAACGGUACUUACAUUACCUUGUCUCACUCUGCUGAAAUGAAUAGGCCAGAGAAGUGGACCCAUGGUAAUUGACUCCAGGAGUGUUUUUCAAUGCUAAACUAGUCUUUACCCAAGUCAAAUUCUGAGCUACCGGACCUCCCAUUAAGUCCAAAACAGAGUGGUUGACCUCGGAUCAGGUAGGGAUACCCGCUGAACUUAA